RNAcentral lists this ribosomal RNA (249 nucleotides) under uncultured Actinomycetes bacterium. RNAcentral's name for it is "uncultured actinobacterium partial 16S ribosomal RNA". It matches the Rfam family "Bacterial small subunit ribosomal RNA", at positions 28 to 276 of the family's 1533-position model. The record is from RNAcentral. Lineage: Bacteria; Bacillati; Actinomycetota; Actinomycetes.
GACGAACGCUGGCGGCGUGCUUAACACAUGCAAAGUCGAGCGGUAAGGCCCUUUCGGGGGUACACGAGGCGGCGAACGGGUGAGUAACACGUGGGUGACCUGCCCUUAGCUCUGGGAUAAGCCUGGGAAACUGGGUCUAAUACUGGAUAUGACUCCACGGCGCAUGUUGUGGGGUGGAAAGCCUUGUGCGGCUGGGGAUGGGCCCGCGGCCUAUCAGCUUGUUGGUGGGGUGAUGGCCUACCAAGGCGA